CGGUGAUUGGCGCAGCCUGGUAGCGCACUUCGUUCGGGACGAAGGGGGCGGAGGUUCGAAUCCUCUAUCACCGACCA
Molecule: transfer RNA, 77 nt
Filed under: Klebsiella aerogenes
Lineage: Bacteria; Pseudomonadati; Pseudomonadota; Gammaproteobacteria; Enterobacterales; Enterobacteriaceae
Also listed under: 32 other names
Description: tRNA-Pro
Rfam family: tRNA
About the family: Transfer RNA (tRNA) molecules are approximately 80 nucleotides in length. Their secondary structure includes four short double-helical elements and three loops (D, anti-codon, and T loops).
Source: RNAcentral